This 178-nucleotide ribosomal RNA is filed under the name uncultured bacterium. Its description in RNAcentral is "partial 16S ribosomal RNA". It matches the Rfam family "Bacterial small subunit ribosomal RNA", at positions 1322 to 1500 of the family's 1533-position model. The record is from RNAcentral.
GAAGCCGGAAUUGCUAGUAAUGGCAGGUCAGCAUACUGCCGUGAAUACGUUCCCGGGCCUCGUACACACCGCCCGUCACACCAUGAGAGUUGGGAAUACCCGAAGCCUGUGAGCUAACGUUAAGAGGCAGCAGUCGAAGGUAGAAUCAAUGAUUGGGGUGAAGUCGUAACAAGGUAUC